RNAcentral lists this ribosomal RNA (497 nucleotides) under uncultured bacterium. RNAcentral's name for it is "partial 16S ribosomal RNA". It matches the Rfam family "Bacterial small subunit ribosomal RNA", at positions 28 to 507 of the family's 1533-position model. The record is from RNAcentral.
GAUGAACGCUGGCGGCGUGCCUAAUACAUGCAAGUCGAGCGAACAGACGAGGAGCUUGCUCCUCUGACGUUAGCGGCGGACGGGUGAGUAACACGUGGAUAACCUACCUAUAAGACUGGGAUAACUUCGGGAAACCGGAGCUAAUACCGGAUAAUAUAUUGAACCGCAUGGUUCAAUAGUGAAAGACGGUUUUGCUGUCACUUAUAGAUGGAUCCGCGCCGCAUUAGCUAGUUGGUAAGGUAACGGCUUACCAAGGCAACGAUGCGUAGCCGACCUGAGAGGGUGAUCGGCCACACUGGAACUGAGACACGGUCAAGACUCAUACGGGAGGCAGCAGUAGGGAAUCUUCAGCAAUGGGCGAAAGCCUGACGGAGCAACGCCGCGUGAGUGAUGAAGGUCUUCGGAUCGUAAAACUCUGUUAUUAGGGAAGAACACAUGUGUAAGUAACUAUGCACGUCUUGACGGUACCUAAUCAGAAAGCCACGGCUAACUACGUG